Molecule: ribosomal RNA, 253 nt
Filed under: uncultured bacterium
Lineage: Bacteria
Description: partial 16S ribosomal RNA
Rfam family: Bacterial small subunit ribosomal RNA
Source: RNAcentral
UACAGAGGGUGCGAGCGUUAAUCGGAAUUACUGGGCGUAAAGCGCGCGUAGGCGGCUUUGCAAGUCGGGUGUGAAAUCCCCAGGCUUAACCUGGGAACUGCAUUCGAGACUGCAUUGCUAGAGUAUGGGAGAGGGAAGUGGAAUUUCCGGUGUAGCGGUGAAAUGCGUAGAUAUCGGAAGGAACGCCGGUGGCGAAAGCGGCGGACUGGAUCUUUUCUGACGCUGAGGCGCGAAAGCUAGGGGAGCAAACGGG